RNAcentral lists this ribosomal RNA (253 nucleotides) under uncultured bacterium. RNAcentral's name for it is "partial 16S ribosomal RNA". It matches the Rfam family "Bacterial small subunit ribosomal RNA", at positions 524 to 776 of the family's 1533-position model. The record is from RNAcentral.
UACAGAGGUCUCAAGCGUUGUUCGGAUUCAUUGGGCGUAAAGGGUGCGUAGGCGGCGCGGUAAGUCGGGUGUGAAAUCUCGGAGCUUAACUCCGAAACUGCAUUCGAUACUGUUUUGCUUGAGGACUGGAGAGGAGAUUGGAAUUCACGGUGUAGCAGUGAAAUGUGUAGAUAUCGUGAGGAAGACCAGUGGCGAAGGCGGAUCUCUGGACAGUUCCUGACGCUGAGGCGCGAAGGCCAGGGGAGCAAAUGGG